Molecule: ribosomal RNA, 831 nt
Filed under: uncultured archaeon
Lineage: Archaea
Description: bacterial SSU rRNA
Rfam family: Archaeal small subunit ribosomal RNA
Source: RNAcentral
GUCACUGCUAUUGGGAUUCGACUAAGCCAUGCGAGUCGAGAGGGUUCGGCCCUCGGCUGACGGCUCAGUAACACGUAGAUAAUCUGCCCUAGGGUGGGGGAUACCCUCGGGAAACUGAGAAUAAUACCCCAUAAGUCUAGGAUGCUGGAAUGCACUUAGGCUAAAAACUUCGGUGCCCUAGGAUGAGUCUGCGGACUAUCAGGUUGUAGUCAGGGUAAUGACCUGACUAGCCUACGACGGAUAUGGGUUGUGAGAGCAAUAACCCAGAGAUGAUAUCUGAGACACGAUAUCAGGCCCUACGGGGCGCAGCAGGCGCGAAAACUUCACACUGCGCGAAAGCGCGAUGAGGGAAUCCCAAGUGCUUGCACGUAAGUGUAAGCUGUUUCUUUGUUUAAAACGCAUUGAGAGUAAGGGCUGGGUAAGACGGGUGCCAGCCGCCGCGGUAAUACCUGCAGCUCAAGUGGUGGCCGCUAUUAUUGGGCCUAAAACGUCCGUAGCCGGUUUAUUAAAUGCCUGGGUAAAUCGUGUAGCUCAACUAUACGAAUUCCGGGUAGACUGAUAGACUUGAGACCGGGAGAAGUUAGAGGUACUCCUGGGGUAGAGGUGAAAUUCUGUAAUCCUAGGGGGACCACCAGUGGCGAAGGCGUCUGACUAGAACGGGUCUGACGGUGAGGGACGAAGCCCUGGGGCGCAAACCGGAUUAGAUACCCGGGUAGUCCAGGGUGUAAACGCUGCUUGCUUGAUGUUAGUCGGGCUCCGAGCCCGAUUAGUGUCGGAGAGAAGUUGUUAAGCAAGCUGCCUGGGAAGUACGGUCGCAAGACUGAAACUUAA